GGAUUGUUUCAGUUAAUAAUGAAGAAAAUUUUUCUAAGUAUUCUCUUCCUAAAUAUGAUCAUUAUUCGUCGUUGAUGACUGUUGCUAAUUUAGUCGAAUAGCAAUCAAUUAUCCUUUGAUCGACCAAAGUUGGGUCGGCAUAUCUUCCGUCCGAUUGUAAUUGAGUCGGCAUAUUAUCCCAUCUGAUCAUAGUCGAGUUAGCAUAUUGUUCCAUCCAACCAUAGUCGAGUCGGCAUAUUAUUUUGUCUAAUUAUAGUUGAGUCAGCAUAUUGAGUUGAUCGAUCGAAGUCAGCAUGUAGAUUCGACCGACCAAAGUCGGUAUGUAGAGUCAUUCAAUCAGAGUCAGUAUGUAGAAUCGACUGAUCGGAGUCGGCAUGUAAAUCAUUUUGGAACUCAUCUUGAUUUGGAG
RNAcentral lists this long non-coding RNA (409 nucleotides) under Elaeis guineensis (African oil palm). Its description in RNAcentral is "long non-coding RNA (EGUI_LNC012216)". The record is from RNAcentral. Lineage: Eukaryota; Viridiplantae; Streptophyta; Magnoliopsida; Arecales; Arecaceae.